UAUGUUUCCCAUAUUUACCAUAGCACCCGAAGAAAACUCAUUUCCAAUAUCAUUACAAAAAUAUUUUUUUUAUCUGCAAUACUGCUAUAGAAUUUUCACUAACCAGUUUUCUCUUUUAGGUACAUUUUGGCCUUGCACAAUGGCAUCGAGGUUCUUCAGUAACACAGCACAUGCAUACACAUAUGAAGAUAUAUAAGUUCCUACGAGGCUAGACUGAUCCUGAUCUCAUCUUUAUCACCAUCCUCUUGGUUUGGAAAUGGACAAGCAAAAUGGACGGCACGAUAUUUUGUAUAAUAUGAUCUAAUGUUGUUUUGUAGUCUAUACGAUACUAUACUUUUAUUUGGUAAAAAUAUUGAUUUGUAAAUUUCGAAAUCGAAUAUUUUUUGUGUACUGCAUAUCUCUCUUCAGUAUACAUACAUAUUUAUGCAUUUUUUGUUUGAGAAGCAUUCCCAUUUCUUUAAAUAGAUUUGCUUGUGAAUUUUGUUCUCAACCAAA
Molecule: long non-coding RNA, 495 nt
Organism: Anastrepha obliqua
Lineage: Eukaryota; Metazoa; Arthropoda; Insecta; Diptera; Tephritidae
Exons: 2
Source: RefSeq, a predicted model, not a curated record